Long non-coding RNA from Lycium barbarum (goji berry), 638 nucleotides. RefSeq lists it as uncharacterized. NCBI's taxonomy places the organism in Eukaryota, Viridiplantae, Streptophyta, Magnoliopsida, Solanales, Solanaceae. The transcript has 2 exons. The record is from RefSeq and is a predicted model, not a curated record.
GUCAACUGUAAAUUUAACCAAACUUUAGCCUUAAUUUAGUGAAAGGUAACAUAGAGAAGAUUCCUGAUCCUGAGUCCUGACAGACAGCAAAGCGUUGAAUCCCAAUGGGAUUACAAUUGCCUUAAAUUCCUUCUUACAAUUGGUCCCUUUUAUUGUCCUCUCUUUUCACACUUCACCAAAUAUCCUUUUCUCUCCAUUAAGUCUCUGAUUCAAGUAUUUUUGUUUCAAGAAUGGGAAGCAACGGAAACAGUUGGGCAGAUCAAUGGGGCAGUCAAAACGAGGUCGUUGAUGAAGAUUAUGGGAGCAAGGGAAAAACCAGUGGCGGAAAGAAGAUGGAAAAGGUGACGGCGGUUGCAUCGACGAGUUUCAACAAGGCAAAAUCUGCGGCGGCUGUGGGUGCUGACAAGGCAAAAUCUGCAGCGGUUGUGGGUGCAAAGAAGGUGAAGAGUGGAACUUCUUUUGGGUUCAAAUGGAUUAAGGAAAAGUGCCAAAAAGGAAACUCUACAAAGUGAUGAGGGGAAGGGAAGAUGAAGAAUUUUGAAUUUUGUAUUUUGUUAGUUGAAUCAAAGGUUACAUAUAUGUACACAGAUCAUAGUUGAUUGUUUUUGAUGAAUGAAAUUGGUUACCUUUUACGCGGA